UUUUUUAAAUUAAUAUUUAUUAAAUAAUUUGUUUUGUAAAUGAGGAAAACGGCUUUUCCUUAUUCUAGUAAACAUUUUAAUUGUUACUCAGUUUUACGCUAUAUAAACCAUGGAAGUGAUGUUUAUUGUUAUCAGUUGAAAAAUGAAACUUACAUUAUUGUUGGUACUUUUUGCUCUUUUGAGUACUUUGAUGAUGACAGGAGUCAUUGCUGAAACUUGCCGAAAGGAAGGGCAAAGCUGCAAAAAACAUAGACAAUGCUGCAGCAACAGUUGCGAUAUGAAAAGAAGUGUGUGUAAGUGAAGUUAAAAAUAUUCCUGGAUGGCAAUCCUAUAAUAAUAGUUCCAACUAAAAUCUGCGAAAAUUUAUGAAGUCUCAUGAACGAAAUAUACUUAUGUUUUUCUUUCUUUGCCUAACAGGAUCUUAAGAAGUCAUUUUUCCUCAAAUAUUUUGUUAAAUAUUCUAAUAUAUUAUGAAUUCUUGGAAAAAAAAUAAACAUUUCUUGAAACAAUAA
Leptopilina boulardi is the source of this 512-nucleotide long non-coding RNA. RefSeq lists it as uncharacterized. Lineage: Eukaryota; Metazoa; Arthropoda; Insecta; Hymenoptera; Figitidae. The record is from RefSeq and is a predicted model, not a curated record. The transcript is spliced from 2 exons.